Molecule: ribosomal RNA, 211 nt
Filed under: Crematogaster abstinens
Lineage: Eukaryota; Metazoa; Arthropoda; Insecta; Hymenoptera; Formicidae
Description: partial large subunit ribosomal RNA
Source: RNAcentral
GAAUUUUAUAUAAUUUUUAAUUAUUUAAUUUAGUUUAGAUGAUAAAUUAAUUUAUAUUUUAUUGGGAGGAUGGUUAAAUUAGAGUAACUUUAAUUAUAAGAGAAUAUUGAUGAAUAAGUUAAAGAAUGGUUAAUAAAUUAAAAAAGAAUUAAUUACCUUAGGGAUAACAGCGUAAUAUUUUUGGAGAGUUCAUAUUAAUAAAAAUGUUUGC